UACGUAGGGGGCUAGCGUUGUCCGGAAUCAUUGGGCGUAAAGAGCGUGUAGGCGGUCCGGUAAGUCCGCUGUGAAAGUCGGGGGCUCAACCCUUGAAUGCCGGUGGAUACUGUCGGGCUAGAGUGCGGAAGAGGCGAGUGGAAUUCCUGGUGUAGCGGUGAAAUGCGCAGAUAUCAGGAGGAACACCUAUUGCGAAGGCAGCUCGCUGGGACGUAACUGACGCUGAGACGCGAAAGCGUGGGGAGCAAACAGG
Molecule: ribosomal RNA, 253 nt
Filed under: uncultured bacterium
Lineage: Bacteria
Description: partial 16S ribosomal RNA
Rfam family: Bacterial small subunit ribosomal RNA
Source: RNAcentral